UACGUAGGGGGCUAGCGUUGUCCGGAAUCAUUGGGCGUAAAGAGCGUGUAGGCGGUUUGGUAGGUCCGCUGUGAAAACUCGAGGCUCAACCUCGAGACGCCGGUGGAAACCAUCAGACUAGAGUCCGGAAGAGGAGAGUGGAAUUCCUGGUGUAGCAGUGAAAUGCGCAGAUAUCAGGAAGAACACCCGUGGCUAAGGCGGCUCUCUAGUACGGUACUGACGCUGAGACGCGAAAGCGUGGGGAGCGAACAGG
Molecule: ribosomal RNA, 253 nt
Filed under: uncultured bacterium
Lineage: Bacteria
Description: partial 16S ribosomal RNA
Rfam family: Bacterial small subunit ribosomal RNA
Source: RNAcentral